Molecule: ribosomal RNA, 305 nt
Filed under: uncultured bacterium
Lineage: Bacteria
Description: bacterial SSU rRNA
Rfam family: Bacterial small subunit ribosomal RNA
Source: RNAcentral
CCUACGGGGGGCAGCAGUGGGGAAUAUUGCACAAUGGGGGAAACCCUGAUGCAGCAACGCCGCGUGAGUGAAGAAGGUUUUCGGAUUGUAAAGCUCUGUUAGCAGGGAAGAGGAAGGACGGUACCUGCAGAGGAAGCCACGGCUAACUACGUGCCAGCAGCCGCGGUAAUACGUAGGGGGCAAGCGUUAUCCGGAUUUACUGGGUGUAAAGGGAGCGUAGACGGAAUUGCAAGUCUGAUGUGAAGAUCCGGGGCCCAACCCCGGAACUGCAUUGGAAACUGUAUUUCUAGAGUGUCGGAGAGGCA